AUUGAACGCUGGCGGCAUGCCUUACACAUGCAAGUCGAACGUGAAAGGGGGGCAACCCCCGAGUAGAGUGGCGGACGGGUGAGUAACGCGUGGGAACGUACCUUUUGGUUCGGAACAACUGAGGGAAACUUCAGCUAAUACCGGAUAAGCCCUUACGGGGAAAGAUUUAUCGCCGAAAGAUCGGCCCGCGUCUGAUUAGCUAGUUGGUGAGGUAAUGGCUCACCAAGGCGACGAUCAGUAGCUGGUCUGAGAGGAUGAUCAGCCACAUUGGGACUGAGACACGGCCCAAACUCCUACGGGUGGCUG
This 306-nucleotide ribosomal RNA is filed under the name uncultured Pseudomonadota bacterium. RNAcentral describes it as "bacterial SSU rRNA". It matches the Rfam family "Bacterial small subunit ribosomal RNA", at positions 30 to 351 of the family's 1533-position model. The record is from RNAcentral. Lineage: Bacteria; Pseudomonadati; Pseudomonadota.